Molecule: ribosomal RNA, 218 nt
Filed under: uncultured bacterium
Lineage: Bacteria
Description: partial 16S ribosomal RNA
Rfam family: Bacterial small subunit ribosomal RNA
Source: RNAcentral
CCGUAGCCCAUCAGAAGGGGAUAACACUUGGAAACAGGUGCUAAUACCGCAUAACAGUUUAUGCCGCAUGGCAUAAGAGUGAAAGGCGCUUUCGGGUGUCGCUGAUGGAUGGACCCGCGGUGCAUUAGCUAGUUGGUGAGGUAACGGCUCACCAAGGCCACGAUGCAUAGCCGACCUGAGAGGGUGAUCGGCCACACUGGGACUGAGACACGGCCCAG